GUGCCUUCAGAAACGGUAAAACAGGUGCUGCAUGGCCGUCGUCAGCUCGUGUUGUGAAAUGUUGGGUUAAGUCCCGCAACGAGCGCAACCCUUAUCCUUGUUUGCCAGCACUUCGGGUGGGAACUCCAGGGAGACUGCCGGUGAUAAACCGGAGGAAGGUGGGGACGACGUCAAGUCAUCAUGGCCCUUACGAGUAGGGCUACACACGUGCUACAAUGGCGCAUACAGAGGGCGGCCAACUUGCGAAAGUGAGCGAAUCCCAAAAAGUGCGUCGUAGUCCGGAUUGGAGUCUGCAACUCGACUCCAUGAAGUCGGAAUCGCUAGUAAUCGUGGAUCAGAAUGCCACGGUGAAUACGUUCCCGGGCCUUGUACACACCGCCCGUCACACCAUGGGAGUGGGCUGCAAAAGAAGUGGGUAGUUUAACCUUCGGGAGGACGCUCACCACUUUGUGGUUCAUGACUGGGGUGAAGUCGUAACAAGGUAACCG
RNAcentral lists this ribosomal RNA (488 nucleotides) under uncultured bacterium. RNAcentral's name for it is "bacterial SSU rRNA". It matches the Rfam family "Bacterial small subunit ribosomal RNA", at positions 1014 to 1502 of the family's 1533-position model. The record is from RNAcentral.